Molecule: ribosomal RNA, 94 nt
Filed under: Acinetobacter baumannii
Lineage: Bacteria; Pseudomonadati; Pseudomonadota; Gammaproteobacteria; Moraxellales; Moraxellaceae
Also listed under: 18 other names
Source: RNAcentral
CCUGGCGGCACUAGCGCGGUGGUCCCACCUGACCCCAUGCCGAACUCAGAAGUGAAACGCCGUAGCGCCGAUGGUAGUGUGGGGUCUCCCCAUG